Molecule: ribosomal RNA, 514 nt
Filed under: uncultured bacterium
Lineage: Bacteria
Description: partial 16S ribosomal RNA
Rfam family: Bacterial small subunit ribosomal RNA
Source: RNAcentral
GAUGAACGCUGGCGGCGUGCUUAACACAUGCAAGUCGAGCGAACAGAUGAGAAGCUUGCUUCUCUGAUGUUAGCGGCGGACGGGUGAGUAACACGUGGGUAACCUACCUAUAAGACUGGGAUAACUCCGGGAAACCGGGGCUAAUACCGGAUAAUAUUUUGAACCGCAUGGUUCAAUAGUGAAAGACGGUUUCGGCUGUCACUUAUAGAUGGACCCGCGCCGUAUUAGCUAGUUGGUAAGGUAACGGCUUACCAAGGCGACGAUACGUAGCCGACCUGAGAGGGUGAUCGGCCACACUGGAACUGAGACACGGUCCAGACUCCUACGGGAGGCAGCAGUAGGGAAUCUUCCGCAAUGGGCGAAAGCCUGACGGAGCAACGCCGCGUGAGUGAUGUAGGUCUUCGGAUCGUAAAACUCUGUUGUUAGGGAAGAACAAAUUUGUUAGUAACUGAACAAGUCUUGACGGUACCUAACCAGAAAGCCACGGCUAACUACGUGCCAGCCGCCGCCGUAA